Molecule: ribosomal RNA, 482 nt
Filed under: uncultured bacterium
Lineage: Bacteria
Description: partial 16S ribosomal RNA
Rfam family: Bacterial small subunit ribosomal RNA
Source: RNAcentral
AUUGAACGCUGGCGGCAUGCCUUACACAUGCAAGUCGAACGGUAACGGGCCUUCGGGUGCCGACGAGUGGCGAACGGGUGAGUAAUACAUCGGAACGUGCCCGAUCGUGGGGGAUAACGAGGCGAAAGCUUUGCUAAUACCGCAUACGAUCUACGGAUGAAAGCCGGGGACCGCAAGGCCUUGCGCGGACGGAGCGGCCGAUGGCAGAUUAGGUAGUUGGUGGGAUAAAAGCUUACCAAGCCGACGAUCUGUAGCUGGUCUGAGAGGAUGAUCAGCCACACUGGGACUGAGACACGGCCCAGACUCCUACGGGAGGCAGCAGUGGGGAAUUUUGGACCAUGGGCGCAAGCCUGAUCCAGCCAUGCCGCGUGCAGGAUGAAGGCCUUCGGGUUGUAAACUGCUUUUGUACGGAACGAAAAGCCUUCUUUUAAUACAGGAGGGUCAUGACGGUACCGUAAGAAUAAGCACCGGCUAACUACGUG